GGAGGAGAUUUCAGUGUUCCAACAACCACAGUAGCACUAACUGUUCAUGUUGUUGGAAGUACGACAGCAGAGAUCAUGCAGUGUGUAAUUUAAGGGUUAAUUCUGUCAAACUUAUGUCACCUAGCCAAGAAGGGAGACGGGUGGAAGUGUUGCUUGGCAACCAGUCAGGGUGGCCUGAUCCUCACCAAGGUAGUAUACACUCUGAUUGGCCGUGUAGUUCGGAGGGAGUCUUUCUCUGUAUGUUUCCUUGAAUCUCACCCUGCUAUAUACAAGGCCUGAAGUGAAAAAAAGACCAAACCUCUCUGUUUAUUUUUCCUUAUUUUUCUUUAGUUUUUUUUUUCUCAGUAAGGUAUUAUCCUCAUUUCUUUUCUCACUGGACUCCAUCGGCUACUUAGGUGACUUUGCUAACACAUGCAAGUAUAGCAUCAUUUGCAGAUGCUGGGCCAAGACGGUAGGCGUAAUCCCACUGCCCACUCUGUAUGAUCCUAAUCCACAGAUAUGGUGGCACGAGAAACAUUCAUGACUCAGACUGGACAGGUGAGUCAGUGGCUUCAACUGGUACUUGCGAUACUGUUGCUUUGCCUUGACUGACGAAUUUAUUUAUUUAUUUAUGGGGGGGAGGGAAGAUGGAGAAAGCCCUAAUGAGCCACCCUACCUUUUAGUCCCAGCAAAUGUCUUAAGAAAUCAUGCAGGUAUAUUUCAGAGUCCUUGCCUUGAGCAAGUAGAAUAGUGGAGCUUGCAAUUCAAGUAUUUCCUGAUGUGUGCAAAUGAUUGCGUCAUUAUCUCUCACAUUGAUUAAUCCAGAGUAACUCUCACCCUUAGUCAGUGGUUCAGUGCAGAGACAGGGAAACCUCAGGCCUGUGGAGAGGGACAGGCGAAUGUGGCCCUCUAGGCCUCUCUGUUUGGCCCUCAAAAUCCUUCCUAGGCCAAAACCCCUUACCUCAGGCCACACCCCCUCACGGCUUUGCAUCCUCCUUGAGUGUUUUUGUCUGGCUGGAAUGUGACCUUGAUCCUGCUUUUUGCUGGGUGGAGGGCAGAAUCAUAGACUUAAAGAGUAGGAAGGGACCCCCGCAGAGAUGUGUGUAGGGGUGCCAACUUGAAUAAAAUAUCGAGGGAGCCCAGGUAAGCCCCAUCCCACAUAACGCAUCACAUGAUGCGGUGCACACACACUAUUUGAAUGGCAUUGCCCAUCAACUUUGAGGGGCCUUGGCCCCCUCAAAUAAUUUUUUUUGGGGGGCUGAAUGCCCUUGGCCACUAGGAAUUGGGUUCUCUCUCUCUCUCUCUCUCUCUCUCUCUCUCUCUCUCUGUGUGUGUGUGUGAGAGAGAGUUGUAUGAAGAAAGUAGCUCCAAAAACGAGCUGCGUGUUGGACCACCCAGUCUUAGCCUAACCUACCCCACAGGGUUGUUGUGAGGGUAAGAUGUGAAGGGAGAGAAUUAUGUUUGCCCCCUUGAACUCCUUGGAGGAAAAGUGGGAUAUAAGUGAAUAGUUUACUUUACAUCUCUCUCCUCACUCCAGGCUGAGACUUCUGGGUUCCUCCAACAGAAAAGGCCCACACAGACAGUGUCUCUCAUGAAUCAAGGGGGAUUCCCUGCCCUUCCCUGCAGAAACACACACAAUUUUUAAAUCAAGGGGGUGGCCCUGAGAAAACCACUCUGAGUCAGCCUGUCUCCGCUAGGAUUUGGAAGGUUUAUCUGCUCCUUUUAGGCAAAAGACCAAGGUAUUUUGAGCCUAGCUUCAAAGAACUCUUUUGUAUUCAAAGUUUCUGGUCCGUAUGGUGAGUGGGAUUAAAACUGAAUUCCCCAUCCCUUUUAGAAUUACUGCGUUUCGCUCAUAUGCCAAUUUAGGUCUAUUUUAAGUCCAAUUGAUUAUGAAAAUGGAUAGAUUAAUCAAUCAAGCUGUUCUUAAUAAGAUGACAGCCCUAGCUUUUGCAGACUGGCUAGAAAGGUCCUCUCAGGGUAUAGACCCUCCAAGUGUCCCUAUUUUCUAGGGACAGUCCUGGAAGACAUCCUGGUUUCUGAUUUGAUCCCAUAAUGCCCCGCUUUUCCUUAGGACAUCCCUAUUUUCAUCAGAGAAAUGUUGGAGGGUAUGAGAGCAGGUAAGCAAGCCUCUGUUUAGGGCAACAGAGAAGCCAGAAGAUGUAUAGCGGCUGGUGCUGUCAAGAUGUUCAGGACCACAACUCCCAGCUGCAUGGCUCAGCUCCUGUUAUGUACUGAGUUGAAUAGGAUCCAAACUGCAGCAGUCUGAUUGGUCCUAGAACAAUAGGAUCCAAAAUGCAGCAGUCUGAUUGGUCCUAGAACAAUACAGCAGUAUGAUUGGUUGCCAGGAACCACCCAAUCAUGCUCCAGAUAGAAGUGAAUCCACAACCUGAUUGGCUUACAGUAGAAUUCCGGAAUUAGCCAAUCAUGUGCAGCCCAUUGUGUAAAUAAUGUAUAUAAAGCAGAUACUUUGAGGGGACCUUCAUUCAUUCCUCCUCACCACUAUGAGCUGAAUAAAGAGCAUGAAAUCAUUUGCGACUCUGAGUAUAUUUCAGCUUCCAUCAUCCUUUGCUGUGCAGGCUGAAGCUGACAGGAGUUGUGGUUCAUCUGGAGGGGACCAGGUUGGGGAAGGUGGAUGUAGAGGGCCUUGUGUUGGUUUCUCCUGGUGGCUGAUGUUGAGUCACUCAGGUAUGAUGGAAGGAGGUUUCCUUGAGUGAGUCAACAACCACGAGCCAGCUCUGAUCGGAAAAAGCAACGGGGAAAUAAUGAAGGGGACAGAGACACGAUCCCUGUUACACUAUGUGCCAGGUGGAUUCUAGGUCAGGCCAGCCCACAAGUGGGCCAAGGACAUCCAAUUGACACACACUCAUCCAUCCUCUGUUUCCACAGCAGUUCACAACAUAUCAAAUCCGUGAUGGAAAAUAUAAGUCACUUUGAGCUUGGAAGGCUAAGAGCAUCGCUCUUGCUCAUGUGCUUUGGAAAGGUCAUAAGAAUGCUAGAUUAGAUGGGGCAGUGGCCUGACUCCGUGGAAUGCAGCUUCAAAUGAUAACCCAGGUGUACAGCCACAGAAUUUGUAAUAAUGGGGAAACCGUAUUGUUGCUUUUCUAGGGUUGCCCCAGUUGCCUCUGUUGUGAUAAGGGAAUGGCCCAGUGUAUUUUCCAGAUAAUUUAGAAGGACGGAAUAUUUUCUACACUAGUAUGGGCCUAGGAGGGACGCGGGUGGUGCUGUGGAUUAAACCACAGAGCCUAGGAUUUGCUGAUCAGAAGAUUGGCAGUUCGAAUCCCCA
Podarcis lilfordi (Lilford's wall lizard) is the source of this 3262-nucleotide non-coding RNA. The record is from the annotation of a GenBank genome assembly. NCBI's taxonomy places the organism in Eukaryota, Metazoa, Chordata, Lepidosauria, Squamata, Lacertidae.